This 218-nucleotide long non-coding RNA is filed under the name Physcomitrium patens. Its description in RNAcentral is "long non-coding RNA (PPAT_LNC003229)". The record is from RNAcentral. Lineage: Eukaryota; Viridiplantae; Streptophyta; Bryopsida; Funariales; Funariaceae.
GUUGUGGCAUCGUGGGUCAUACCAACGCCUAAGUGGAAACUAGACUGUCCUAAAUUAGAAUAGUCAUGAUGUCUAGGUUGUAAAUGUAUCUCGACCCAACUGGACCUAAUCAGGCUGCUUGUAUUUAUUCACUUCUAUGCAGAAGUAUUCCUUCUCGUGUCAAAAAUAAAUAAAUCAAUCAAUAACUAAAUAAAUCUAUCCAACAACUUUACACACAC